This 857-nucleotide long non-coding RNA is filed under the name Androctonus crassicauda. The record is from RNAcentral. Lineage: Eukaryota; Metazoa; Arthropoda; Arachnida; Scorpiones; Buthidae.
UUAUACCAAAAUCUACUUAAAUCUUAAACUAUACAAUACAAUGAUUCGAGAGUGUGUGUGUGUGUGUGUGUGAGAAUCCAACGAGCAUACCUCAGAGAAUGGAACUGGAGUUACCAAUGUUACAUCAAUUAUUUGACACUAUUUCAAUAAAUAUUCACAAAUGUUCAUUGUUUGAAGGUUCACAAUUGUUUGAUCACACAGCUCCACACUUCACUGUCAUCAGUGUCGUCCAUUGUCUCCGUCUCAAUGGGAUGAGUUGCCUUUUCCAUCAUCAAGACUUACAUUUUGUAUUGUUGUUCAUUCACCUUCAAAAGUAAACUCUUGACUUCUUCUGACUAACUUCCGUCUUCUCUACUGACCUCCAUCUGCUCUGUCUUAUUCGUUUAUAUUACCCCAAUGUUUUUGAUGUUUACUUCCAUUCUCACGGAUCAGCUCUCUCUUUGUUUAUCAUACAAUGAUGAUUCCUAGUUCAUUUUAUUUAUAUUUUAAAUAAAUAAUUUGAGCUGAAAAUCAUCGUCAUAUGAGAAUGAACUAAAUAUUGAAAACAUUGGAGUAAUAUAAACGAAUAAAACAGAGCAGAAAGAGGUCAGUAGAGAAGACGGAAGUUAGUCAGGAGAAGUCAAGAGUCUACUUUUGUAGGUGAACAAACAACAAUACAAAAUGUGAGUCUUAUUGAUGGGAAAAGCAACUCGUCCCGUCAGGACGGAGACAGAGACAAUGGACGACAAUGACAGCGAAGUGUGAAGCUGUGUGAUCGGACAAUUGUGAACCUUCGAACAAUGAACAUUUGUGAACAUUUAUUGGAAUAGUGUCAAAUAACUGAUGUAACAUCAAUAACUCCAGUUCCAUUCUCUCAG